RNAcentral lists this ribosomal RNA (1337 nucleotides) under uncultured bacterium. RNAcentral's name for it is "bacterial SSU rRNA". It matches the Rfam family "Bacterial small subunit ribosomal RNA", at positions 28 to 1381 of the family's 1533-position model. The record is from RNAcentral.
GACGAACGCUGGCGGCGCGCCUAACACAUGCAAGUCGAACGAGCGAGAGAGAGCUUGCUUUCUCGAGCGAGUGGCGAACGGGUGAGUAACGCGUGAGGAACCUGCCUCAAAGAGGGGGACAACAGUUGGAAACGACUGCUAAUACCGCAUAAGCCCACGACCCGGCAUCGGGUAGAGGGAAAAGGAGCAAUCCGCUUUGAGAUGGCCUCGCGUCCGAUUAGCUAGUUGGUGAGGUAACGGCCCACCAAGGCGACGAUCGGUAGCCGGACUGAGAGGUUGAACGGCCACAUUGGGACUGAGACACGGCCCAGACUCCUACGGGAGGCAGCAGUGGGGAAUAUUGCACAAUGGGGGAAACCCUGAUGCAGCGACGCCGCGUGGAGGAAGAAGGUCUUCGGAUUGUAAACUCCUGUUGUUGAGGAAGAUAAUGACGGUACUCAACAAGGAAGUGACGGCUAACUACGUGCCAGCAGCCGCGGUAAAACGUAGGUCACAAGCGUUGUCCGGAAUUACUGGGUGUAAAGGGAGCGCAGGCGGGAAGACAAGUUGGAAGUGAAAUCCAUGGGCUCAACCCAUGAACUGCUUUCAAAACUGUUUUUCUUGAGUAGUGCAGAGGUAGGCGGAAUUCCCGGUGUAGCGGUGGAAUGCGUAGAUAUCGGGAGGAACACCAGUGGCGAAGGCGGCCUACUGGGCACCAACUGACGCUGAGGCUCGAAAGUGUGGGUAGCAAACAGGAUUAGAUACCCUGGUAGUCCACACUGUAAACGAUGAUUACUAGGUGUUGGAGGAUUGACCCCUUCAGUGCCGCAGUUAACACAAUAAGUAAUCCACCUGGGGAGUACGACCGCAAGGUUGAAACUCAAAGGAAUUGACGGGGGCCCGCACAAGCAGUGGAGUAUGUGGUUUAAUUCGACGCAACGCGAAGAACCUUACCAAGUUCUUGACAUCCUGCGACGGUGCUGGAAACAGUACUUUCCUUCGGGACGCAGAGACAGGUGGUGCAUGGUUGUUCGUCAGCUCGUGUCGUGAGAUGUUGGGUUAAGUCCCGCAACGAGCGCAACCCUUAUGGUCAGUUACUACGCAAGAGGACUCUGGCCAGACUGCCGUUGACAAAACGGAGGAAGGUGGGGAUGACGUCAAAUCAUCAUGCCCUUUAUGACUUGGGCUACACACGUACUACAAUGGCGUUAAACAAAGAGAAGCAAGACCGCGAGGUGGAGCAAAACUCAGAAACAACGUCCCAGUUUCGGACUGCAGGCUGCAACUCGCCUGCACGAAGUCGGAAUUGCUAGUAAUCGCGGAUCAGCAUGCUGCGGUGAAAUACGUUUCCCGGGCCU